UGCCCCAUGGCAAUGAGCAAAGAGACACCUUGUUGGUGGUGUUUUUCUUAUAUCACCCAGGGACAGAGCAGAUGUCAGGCCUUGUCCCUCCUAGCUUGAUGCAUGGCUUGGUGGCCAAAGCUGUUUUAUGCCUAGGGCUCAUCA
This is a small nucleolar RNA of Meriones unguiculatus (Mongolian gerbil), 144 nucleotides long. The record is from Ensembl. NCBI's taxonomy places the organism in Eukaryota, Metazoa, Chordata, Mammalia, Rodentia, Muridae.